This 24-nucleotide non-coding RNA is filed under the name Cricetulus griseus (Chinese hamster). Lineage: Eukaryota; Metazoa; Chordata; Mammalia; Rodentia; Cricetidae. The record is from RNAcentral.
AUUGUGGACUUUAUAAAAGCAAAG